ACUCCUACGGGAGGCAGCAGUGAGGAAUAUUGGUCAAUGGCCGGAAGGCUGAACCAGCCAAGUAGCGUGAAGGAUGAAGGUUCUAUGGAUUGUAAACUUCUUUUAUACGGGAAUAAAACCUCCCACGUGUGGGAGCUUGUAUGUACCGUAUGAAUAAGCAUCGGCUAACUCCGUGCCAGCAGCCGCGGUAAU
This 192-nucleotide ribosomal RNA is filed under the name uncultured bacterium. RNAcentral's name for it is "partial 16S ribosomal RNA". It matches the Rfam family "Bacterial small subunit ribosomal RNA", at positions 335 to 524 of the family's 1533-position model. The record is from RNAcentral.